UUUUAGAUUGCCGAAGAGAGU
Molecule: non-coding RNA, 21 nt
Organism: Caenorhabditis elegans
Lineage: Eukaryota; Metazoa; Nematoda; Chromadorea; Rhabditida; Rhabditidae
Source: Ensembl